AUUGAACGCUGGCGGCAGGCCUAACACAUGCAAGUCGAGCGGAUGAAGGGAGCUUGCUCCUGAAUUCAGCGGCGGACGGGUGAGUAAUGCCUAGGAAUCUGCCUGGUAGUGGGGGAUAACGUCCGGAAACGGGCGCUAAUACCGCAUACGUCCUGAGGGAGAAAGUGGGGGAUCUUCGGACCUCACGCUAUCAGAUGAGCCUAGGUCGGAUUAGCUAGUUGGUGGGGUAAAGGCCUACCAAGGCGACGAUCCGUAACUGGUCUGAGAGGAUGAUCAGUCACACUGGAACUGAGACACGGUCCAGACUCCUACGGGAGGCAGCAGUGGGGAAUAUUGGACAAUGGGCGAAAGCCUGAUCCAGCCAUGCCGCGCGUGUGAAGAAGGUCUUCGGAUUGUAAAGCACUUUAAGUUGGGAGGAAGGGCAGUAAGUUAAUACCGUGCUGUUUUGACGUUACCAACAGAAUAAGCACGGGCUAACUUCGUG
Molecule: ribosomal RNA, 484 nt
Filed under: uncultured bacterium
Lineage: Bacteria
Description: partial 16S ribosomal RNA
Rfam family: Bacterial small subunit ribosomal RNA
Source: RNAcentral